This is a non-coding RNA of Homo sapiens (human), 103 nucleotides long. The record is from Rfam. Lineage: Eukaryota; Metazoa; Chordata; Mammalia; Primates; Hominidae.
AGCAGUACAUAUACUUAAAAAAAAAACUGGAAUGAUACAAAGAAGAUUAGCAUGGCCCUUGCGCAAGCAUGAUAUACAAAUUCAUGAAGCAUUCCAUGCUAAA